This is a microRNA precursor of Ciona intestinalis (vase tunicate), 110 nucleotides long. Ensembl annotates it as cin-let-7c. Its record names the gene cin-let-7c. The record is from Ensembl. Lineage: Eukaryota; Metazoa; Chordata; Ascidiacea; Phlebobranchia; Cionidae.
UGAACUGAUGCAAGUUGAGGUAGUAGGUUAUAUCAGUUGAUUAUAUGAACCAGGAGAUAACUGUAUAGCCCACUAGCUUACUUGCAUGGUUUACUUUCAACCAAGAAAAG